This 748-nucleotide long non-coding RNA is filed under the name Erythranthe guttata (spotted monkey flower). RNAcentral describes it as "long non-coding RNA (EGUT_LNC003321)". The record is from RNAcentral. Lineage: Eukaryota; Viridiplantae; Streptophyta; Magnoliopsida; Lamiales; Phrymaceae.
AGGUCAAGCAGAAUAGGUAAAAAAAUAAAAAAUAAAACAAAAUACUAAAAAAAUUGAAAAAAAUUACAUUGUCAAAUUCCUCAUUCUCGGCAUUCUUCUUCAUCUUCUCGAGCCUCGCUCUCAUUUUCUGCACCAAAAAAAAUUGGUUGAAAUGGGACCACUAAAAUAUUGUUCUUCCAGAAAAUAUACCUGAUUUCAGAUACAGAAGAUGCAACAACAAAAAUACAACUUCAAUUAAAAAACACCUGCAACAAAAAAAUAAUCAGCAAAUUGAAUCCAGAGUAACUCGAAAUGGAAAGGAAAAACACGACAUCACCCAAAAAUAAGGUGGACAUUUCGGUUUAAUAAAAACAUGCAAGAAAGAAAACUUAUUCAUAACAAAAUGGAAUCCAAAAUAUAUCGCAGAUGAAGGGGAAAAAUGAUUUACCCACUGCCACAAAAUCGUCCUCCGAUGCGCUCUAAUGAAUAGGAUGGAUGCUGCAAUCAAAAGCUGAUAUAUAAGUGAACGUAUGUGGGAGUUAUGAAAAGAACGUGUGUGAGUGGGUUUAUAUCGUGGAGUAGGUUUUGUGCCUAGUGUGCCUAGCAGACAGUUUGGAAGUUUUUUAUUCCGACAAUUGUAUUCAAAUUUAAAGGGGAAAAAACGACGUGGAUUCAAAAAAGGAAAGCAAAAGAGAAAAAAAUCUGCAAAAAUAAGAAAUUAAUAAACUGCCCUAGGUUUAGGUUUAGGUUUUAGUUCAAAAUAUUUUCC